This 2865-nucleotide long non-coding RNA is filed under the name Nicotiana benthamiana. Its description in RNAcentral is "long non-coding RNA (NBEN_LNC039390)". The record is from RNAcentral. Lineage: Eukaryota; Viridiplantae; Streptophyta; Magnoliopsida; Solanales; Solanaceae.
CAAUGUCAAUCUAUACAUAAACUUCCCAAGAUUGGUGCCACAAAUCCACAGACUGUCCAAGAAUACUAUAGAUAAAGGUCUGAAAGAUUUAUUACAAUACUAUUUUGUACGUACGUGAAAGAAACAUAAUAAAAGGGAUAGGAGAAGAUGCCAACGCGUGCAGACGCCUGUAGGACUACCUCGGAAUCUCCGUAUGGACUGAAGGUAACCACCCAAGCUAAGGUACAAAACCUGCUGCGAUGGGAUAUGCACACAAUGCAGACUGUAGUACCAGUACAACUGACCUCAUAUGCUGUUAAGUUCCUAGCCUGACCUCGGCGAAGUAGUGUGGAGACUACGACCAGACUGGCAAAUAAAUGCACUUACAUAAUAUACAACAGAAAAAAGAAGCAGGAAAAUACAAUUAAGGAUGGGAAGGGGAACAUGCUGCGGGGAAACAUCAAUUAAAACUAGAAAGACAUUAAGUAAAUACGAGGAACACCAAAUUUCAAUUAUCAACAAGAAUCAAAAAUCAAACAAGUGCAUGAUAUCACCCUUCGUGCUUUAACACUUUCUUACCAAAAUAAUACACGACAUCACUCUUUGUACCUUAACACUCUUCCUCACCCAAAAAAUAAUCACAAGCAAUAAGGCAAGUAAAUGCAUAAAAUUACAAUAAAAUCCCGGUAAUAGAACAAUAGUUCAACAAUAAAAUCCCGAUAAGGGAAUAAUAUCAAAAGCAUCAAUAUCCCGUCAAGGGAGAUAGCAUUAAAAGCAAUAACAUCUCGCUAAGGGAGACAAUAUAAUAAUUCUCUUUGCUUUUUCACUUUUACUUCACAACUCGCUUCAUAAUUUGAGAAAAUGCUCAAUAAAGUUCAUUUGCCAAUUAUACUUCAACAGUUUAUUUACCACUUGAGCCAACGCUCGUCAAUACUCAAAUACCACAAUAACUUCCACAAACUUUGCUCAACAAACGAAAUCAUCACAAAAAGGGCAUGAGCAAUACAAACAAAGUCAUAAUAAUCAUAAUGUAAGACUCACGGGCAUGCUUGACUCCAACGUAUAGAUACUCGUCAACAUGCCUAUACAUCGUAAUCAACAAAUAAUAUAUAGCAAAUAGGAUAAAACUCCUAAUCCCUCAAGAUAAGGUUAGAACAAAUACUUAGCUCGAUGCCACGAACACAAUUCAAGCCUCAACUACCACUUUACCUCUUGAUUUCACCACCAAUUUGCUCGUAUCUAGCCACAAGUUACUUAAUUAUAUCAAUAAAUGCUAAAUGAAUCAAUUAAAAUGCAUGAAAAUCAAUUUUCUAGAGUUUUUCCUAAAAGUAAAAAAUCGCCCCCGGGCCCACAUGAUAAAAACCCGAGGUUCGAACCAAAAUCCGAUUACCCAUUCCCCCAUGCACCCAAAUAUAUAUAUAUUUUUAAAUUGAACCUCAAAUCGAGGUCCAAAUCCCUAGAAUUUGAAAAACCUAGGUUCUAUACAAAACACCCCAAUUUUCCCCAUGAAAACCUUUGAUUUGAGUUGAAAUCAUGAGAAAAGGUGUUAAGGAUUAAUAAAACGAGUUAGAAAUGACGUACAAUCCAUUUGGAAGAGUUCUUAUCUUUGAAAAAUCGCCCUAGAGUGUUUUUGUUUUGAUAGGGUUUGAAAAGUGAGAGAUUUUCGCCUAAAUUAUAAUUUUUCAAGUUGCAAUUGCGACCAGGGUUCGCAAUUCAGACGUCUACUAUUCUUGCAUUUGCGACAAAAGUUCGCAUUGCAAUCUCAAAAUUGCGAUUAGGUAGUUGCAUUUGCGACAAAGGGAAAUUGUUGGACCACUUCGCAUUUGCGAAGAAAGGAUCACAUUUACAAUCGGCUCUGCCCAGGUCUCUUCUAGCAUUUGCGAGCCAGGCUUCGGUAACAUACCAGCUAAAAACCUGUAACUUCCUAAGUCUAAAUUUCACUUUCUGGCCUAUCCAAAACUCAACCGAGCCCUCGGGGCUCCAAACCAAAUAUGCACACCAACCUAAAAAUAUCAUACGGACUUGAUCAUGCAAUCAAAUCAUGAAAAUAACAUGUAAACCAGGAAUUAAACCUCAAAACUCAUCUUUUUCAUCAAGAACACUUAAAGAUCAUUACUCUUCAACUGGAAGUCCAAAUCACGUCAAAUAAACUCAUUUUAACCAAAUUUCACAGUUAAUCAUUUAAAUGCUAUAACAGAUUUGUACCGGGCUCCAAAAUCAAAAUACGGGCCAGAUACCAAUGGUUUCAAACAUUAAUUCUUUUCUUUAUUACAUAGAUAAUUCAACAAAAUAAUUUCUUUCAAAAAUUGAUUUCUAAGGCUUGGGACCUUGAAAUUUAUUACCGAGCAUAAUUCAAAGUCUCAUAUUUUAAUGCGGACCACCCGGGAUUAUCGAAAUACAGAUCCGGAUCCGUUUUCUCAAUAUAUUGACCUAUGUCAACCAUAAUAAAAUUUUAUCUCUAGAAAUUUCUAUUUCUCAUAUUUUCACAUAAAAGGGUUUUCGGAUAUAGGUCUAGACCAUGCAUGCAAAUCAAGGUGAGGUAAAAAAGAGGUUUUUAGGUCUCGGAAUACUGAAUUUAUUUCUAAAACAAGUGAUGAACUUUUGGGUCGUCACAAUAUGAAUCAUGCCAAAAAGAAAUAAGGGAUAACCUUAACAUACCUGGACUGAUUCUCUUGAUAAUUCCUCUGACACACGUCUAUUGCGCCAACAUGUAACAUCGGAUCGAAGUAGGGGAAAAUUCAUAUAAUAUUUUUGAGAAAGAUUGUACCAUACUCCUUUAGAAUUACAAAUCCCCCAUUACUAUAAUAUUAAAUGGUCUUCGUAUGAAAGGUUUGAAGCAGCCACGUUUUUAUAACAAACCAUUACCCUUACUAAAGCUUUCUUUCU